This 377-nucleotide non-coding RNA is filed under the name Saccharomyces cerevisiae YJM1273. RNAcentral also lists the same sequence under 1 other name. Lineage: Eukaryota; Fungi; Ascomycota; Saccharomycetes; Saccharomycetales; Saccharomycetaceae. The record is from RNAcentral.
AGAUAUUUAUAUUAUUAAUAGGAAAGUCAUAAAUAUAUAAAUUAUAUUAUAUAAUUAAUAUAAUAAUAAAAUAAAUUAUAUAUUUUAUUUAUAAUAUUAUUUCUUUAUAAGAUAAAUAUUAUCUAAUAAUAUUUAUAAAGAAAUAUAUAUAUAUAUAAAAAGUCAUUAUAUAAAUUUAAUUAUAAUUUAAAUAAAUUUUAUAUAAAUUAAUAUAAUAUUAAUAAAGUAAUUAGUAUAAAUAAAUAAUAUGAAAAUAAAACUUAAUAAAUAUAUAAAUAUAGUCCAUAUAUAUAUAUUAAUAAAAAGUAAUAUAUAUAUAUAUAUUGGAAUAGUUAUAUUAUUAUACAGAAAUAUGCUUAAUUAUAAUAUAAUAUCCA